AGUGAACGCUGGCGGUAGGCCUAACACAUGCAAGUCGAACGGCAGCACAGUAAGAGCUUGCUCUUACGGGUGGCGAGUGGCGGACGGGUGAGGAAUACAUCGGAAUCUACUUUUUCGUGGGGGAUAACGUAGGGAAACUUACGCUAAUACCGCAUACGACCUACGGGUGAAAGCAGGGGAUCUUCGGACCUUGCGCGAUUGAAUGAGCCGAUGUCGGAUUAGCUAGUUGGCGGGGUAAAGGCCCACCAAGGCGACGAUCCGUAGCUGGUCUGAGAGGAUGAUCAACCACACUGGAACUGAGACACGGUCCAGACUCCUACGGGAGGCAGCAGUGGGGAAUAUUGGACAAUGGGCGCAAGCCUGAUCCAGCCAUACCGCGUGGGUGAAGAAGGCCUUCGGGUUGUAAAGCCCUUUUGUUGGAAAAGAAAAGCAGCAGGUUAAUACCCCGCUGUUCUGACGGUACCCAAAGAAUAAGCACCGGCUAACUUCGUG
This 492-nucleotide ribosomal RNA is filed under the name uncultured bacterium. RNAcentral's name for it is "partial 16S ribosomal RNA". It matches the Rfam family "Bacterial small subunit ribosomal RNA", at positions 29 to 507 of the family's 1533-position model. The record is from RNAcentral.